UGAACAUAAUUUUUGUUUCAC
Molecule: non-coding RNA, 21 nt
Filed under: Caenorhabditis elegans
Lineage: Eukaryota; Metazoa; Nematoda; Chromadorea; Rhabditida; Rhabditidae
Source: RNAcentral